CCCUUAGAUGUUCUGGGCCGCACGCGUGCUACACUGAGUGGAUCAGCGGGUCAGGUUGCGCGAAAGUGUUUCCUAAUCUUUAAAUCCGCUCGUGAUGGGGAUUGACGGUUGCAAUUUUCCGUCAAGAACGAGGAAUACCUUGUAAGCGCGGGUCAUCAUCCCGCGCUGAAUACGUCCCUGCCCUUUGUACACACCGCCCGUCGCUCCUACCGAUUGAGUGGUCCGGUGAGGCUUUGGGAUCUGAGCGGAAAGAGCGUUUCGCUGUUUCUGCCCGGAAAACUCAGUCGAACCUUAUCAUUUAGAGGAAGGAGAAGUCGUAACA
Molecule: ribosomal RNA, 322 nt
Filed under: uncultured eukaryote
Lineage: Eukaryota
Description: partial 18S ribosomal RNA
Rfam family: Eukaryotic small subunit ribosomal RNA
Source: RNAcentral